Molecule: long non-coding RNA, 228 nt
Filed under: Setaria italica (foxtail millet)
Lineage: Eukaryota; Viridiplantae; Streptophyta; Magnoliopsida; Poales; Poaceae
Description: long non-coding RNA (SITA_LNC001194)
Source: RNAcentral
GGCUAAUAGAAGAUCAUCAUCCGUACACCACCUUCCCUCUCAUCGGCUAUGAUGCCCCAUCCAUGGAUGUGAUUGCUGGCCGAUCGAAGCAAGCACAGAAGAAGGUCACCAAAAAGACCAGUCGCCGAGUCCGGGCCCGUAUAGAAUCGGCAGAUCCUCCCACGCUCGCGUCGGCAGAAACUUCGGUCGCACCACCUCCUCCAGCUGUCAAAGACAUUGACACUCAAG